GAUGAACGCUGGCGGCGUGCCUAAUACAUGCAAGUCGAGCGAACAGACGAGGAGCUUGCUCCUCUGACGUUAGCGGCGGACGGGUGAGUAACACGUGGAUAACCUACCUAUAAGACUGGGAUAACUUCGGAACACCGGAGCUUAUACGGGAUAACAUGUUGAACCGCAGGGUGCAACAGUGAAAGACGGUCUUGGUGGCACGAAUCGCUGGAUCCGAGCCGCUUGAGCUGGUUGGUAAGGUAACGGCUUAUCAAGGCAACCAUGCGUAGCCGAAGUGAGAGACUGGUCGGCCACACUGGAACGGAGACACGGUCCAGGCUCCUACGGGAGGCAGCAGUAGGGAAUCGUCCGCAGUGGGCGAGAGCCUGACGGAGCAACGCCGCGUGAGUGAAGAAGGUCUUCGGAUCGUAAAACUCUGUUAUUGGGGAAGAACAAAUGUGUAAGUAGAUAUGGACGUAGUGACGGUACCUAGUCAGAAAGCCACGGCUAACUACGUG
Molecule: ribosomal RNA, 497 nt
Filed under: uncultured bacterium
Lineage: Bacteria
Description: partial 16S ribosomal RNA
Rfam family: Bacterial small subunit ribosomal RNA
Source: RNAcentral